GAUGAACGCUAGCGGCAGGCUUAACACAUGCAAGUCGAGGGGUAACAGAAAAAGCUUGCUUUCUUGCUGACGACCGGCGAACGGGUGCGUAACGCGUAUGCAACUUACCCUUAACAGAAAGAUAGCCCCGAGAAAUCGGGAUUAAUAUUUCAUAAUAUCAUUUUUUCGCAUGUUAAAAUGAUUAAAGCUCCGGCGGUUAAGGAUAGGCAUGCUUCUGAUUAGUUUGUUGGUGAGGUAACGGCUCACCAAGACUACGAUCAGUAGGGGGUCUGAGAGGAUGAUCCCCCACACUGGUACUGAGACACGGACCAGACUCCUACGGGAGGCAGCAGUGAGGAAUAUUGGUCAAUGGACGCAAGUCUGAACCAGCCAUGCCGCGUGCAGGAAGAAUGCCCUAUGGGUUGUAAACUGCUUUUUUAAUAGGAAGAAUCCCUUUUAGUGUAAGAGGUUGACGGUACUAUAUGAAUAAGCACCGGCUAACUCCGU
This 486-nucleotide ribosomal RNA is filed under the name uncultured bacterium. RNAcentral describes it as "bacterial SSU rRNA". It matches the Rfam family "Bacterial small subunit ribosomal RNA", at positions 28 to 506 of the family's 1533-position model. The record is from RNAcentral.